AAAGUUUGAUCCUGGCUCAGGAUGAACGCUGGCGGCGUGCCUAACACAUGCAAGUCGAACGCUGGCACAUUUGGAGCUUGCUUUAGAUGUGCCGGAGUGGCGGACGGGUGAKUAAUACGUGAGAACUUAUCCAUAGGAGGGGGACAACCUUGAGAAAUCAGGGCUAAUACCCCGUAAGCCGAGAGGUGAAAGGAGCAAUCCGYCUAUGGAGAGGCUCGCGUCCUAUCAGGUAKUUGGUGAGGUAAAGGCUCACCAAGCCGAAGACGGGUAGCCGGACUGAGAGGUUGACCGGCCACAUUGGAACUGAGAGACGGUCCAGACUCCUACGGGAGGCAGCAGUGGGGAAUAUUGGGCAAUGGGCGGAAGCCUGACCCAGCGACGCCGCGUGAGGGAAGACGGCCCUAGGGUUGUAAACCUCUGUUGCAGGGGAAGAAGGAAKUGACGGUACCCUGCGAGGAAGCUCCGGCAAACUACGUUGCCAGCAGCCGCGGUAAUACGUAAGGAGCGAGCGUUGUCUGGAAUUACUGGGCGUAAAGGGCGCGUAUGCUGAUACAUAAGUCCAKUGUAAAAGGCUCAGGCAUCAACCCUGARUAAKCACAAAKAAACUGUGUAAUCUCGAAGSCAUGGAGAGGCAAACGGAAUUUCCUGG
This 649-nucleotide ribosomal RNA is filed under the name uncultured bacterium. RNAcentral's name for it is "bacterial SSU rRNA". It matches the Rfam family "Bacterial small subunit ribosomal RNA", at positions 8 to 674 of the family's 1533-position model. The record is from RNAcentral.